AUAACCUUUCCUGCUACUUUACAGACAAAACAGAAGUGAGGACUCCCCCAGCUGUUCCCACCCCCAGCACAGAGCUGCCACCCACCUCUCCGGCCUGGAUAAGGCUCUGCUUCCUACAAAGUGUCUUCACGGCCACAUUUGCCCCUUCCCCUCCUGGCAGCCCAAGGGCCCUUCCAAAAGCUGAAGUCUGAUGGGACACUGGAGCAUGACUGUGACCCGAGGAGGGAAGUGCAACGUGUGUGUCUCUGUCCCUUGCUGCUCCUUGACACAGUGUUCAAGAUGCUCUAUGAACCCACGAUGCGUCAGUGAUCGGUAAGACUCAAAGUGAGCACAAGUGGUGCAGAUGCUGGAAGUCCUUUGAAGAAGUGAUCCACAAUGGAAUGAGUGUCUGGGACUUAGGCAGUAAGGUCCUUGGUUCUGGAAGAUUUCAAACAGCAAUUAGAAGAUGUCUAUAAGAGAUGCGGUAGAAGAUUCCUGACAUGCGUACAGUGAUCCUCAAGACUCCCUUUAAAGCUAAUAAUUCCAUAACUUUUAGUGGGGGAGUGACAGGUCCACAUUCCCUUCUCUGAUACCACUGGGACCAGAUUAUUCCAGAAUUCAGGACUUUCAUAUCUUAUAAUGUAUGCAUAUAACUUGCAUUAUGUAACACCCCUAGGGGAGUUUGGAAAGCACCCCAAAGCCCAACACACUAGUAUCUCUGGAGAAAACCAUAAGCAGGUGACAAACACAAACCAUGAAAAGCCUCAUGUUAGGUUUAGCUGGGAAACAAACUCAGGGAGGUCAGAUUGUCCCACCAAAUAUGGGAAGUCUUUUGGAAUUUGAAGCUUUUGGACUUUCAGAUAAGGGAUUAUGGAUCUGUUUGUGAACUCUUAAGUCAUUUCACAGAUUGGAAAAAAACAAAACAAAAAUCCCAAACAAUGUAUACAUGGAGGCACCUGAGAUGUCUUUAAAUUUCAUGAUGGGAAGAAAGAAACCAACACUUGUACACUGGUUUAGACCUGAUGAAAGUGCUUGGGGCUCCACUGUCUAUUAGACACUCACCGUGACCUUAUGAACGAAGACGCAUCAUCUCCAUCCUUUGGGGACAGGGAAACUGAAGCUUCCACAGAGCCGGCAUCACAUAGUACAUGCUAGUGCCUGUGUGAGAACACACAGAUUUGGGACUCCAAAUAUCAGGCUUUUUCUAUAACCUCAAAAACCUCCUAAAUGGUGCCCAGUGAAUGUAUUUCAGGCAGUGCUGCCAUUCAGAGGGAUGCCCCCAUCUAGCUGUACUGAAUGUUGGAGUUCUUCCUUUUAGGUGAUAUAUCACCAAGGCCCUAAGUCUGUGGAGGCCUCUAGCCUUAUCCUGCUGCCCCAGAGUGCCCCAGACUCUCCCAAAGUGUAGUAACUGUGCAAAGGGCAGACGCCUGGCAGAACAGGGACCCCAGGGGCUGGAGACUGUACCCUAUUGUAGCUACAUAUUUGGAACAUCACACCUACUAGAAUUGUGCUAAGAUACUGACCAGUCCUUGAGUAUGUUGCCUUCCACCAAGAAGAGAGCACUCCCCUCCCCCAGAGAUGUUCUAUGUGUGUUUAGCUGGGAAGCUCUGCACAGCUGCACGCUGGUAUAUCCAUGCUUGCCUGAGAAUCACAGCUGCCUGGAGCUCUUGGGAAACACAGACUCCUGGGCCCCAUCCUGACCUAUUACAGAAUCAGAAUCUCCUGACACAGGCGCAGGUGUUUUGUGCACAAACGUUCCAGCUGAGUGCCGCCUAGAGUUGGGCAAGUUUGGAGAUCACCGUGGCACUCCAUUUACUUUGGUAAGAAGGAUCUAAUCAACCCAUUCAAAUUUGCAGAGGCAACAGUAAACAACUCUGUCUAGCUCUUCCACAUAAGCACAUUUAGAGACAAAAUUUUCAGCUCUAAUGGUUUCCACAUUUCUUUCCUUGUCACUUCCUCCUUUUGUCAAUGUCAAUGUAUAUGUGUGUAUUUCCAAGGAUGCCAUGCCUUGCCCCAUGUCCUGUAGCAACCGGGCUGUGCCCACCCCACCCAGGCUGACCGGGUGCUCAGUGAGCACAUUCUCCACUGUGCUUCACCCCACCCCAUUGUGGAGAUCUCAGAAACAGUGGGUUCCCCAGGUGACAUUCAACCUCAGAUGUGCAUUUGUCACGCUCAGUUCUAAAUUGGCUUGUUUUGGCAACCACCUGAUGUUUCUAAAUAUGUGUUCUCCACAUGUCCUCUUGCCUGAAUCUUGAGAAAUCUACACAGGAACUGGUAGCCUAGCUACGGAGAGAAGGUUUUUUCCCCUUCCUUUUCCCUUUGAAGCUGCCUGUGGUUGCACCCAAACGCUGCAGAUGCAACCAUGGAUGUGUGCGCUGUAUCCUCAGCCAGCUCUGGGUCAAGAGCCUGCUUGGCGUUUUUAUGUUUCCCUUCUUAUGAAGGAUAAGGAAAUGUGGGGGCAAAUGGAAUCUCUGCUGGGGACAUUUUCAGCCGCCGAUGCCACCAAAAGGAAGUGAAUUUCUUUUCUGUUUAUAUCUCAGGAAAUAAUCUGUCACAUUUGAAAUCAUUUCAGAAAUAUCUACUGCUCAUAAACUUUCUGUUCCUUCAUCCCCUGAUCUGUUGAUUCUGUAACAUUAUAGAGGGAAGGAAGAAUGGAUUAAGCAGCAUAAAAUACCAUAAGUUCCUUAAAAUGAGGAUCCACAUUUUCUUGUAGAAAUGAGCUGGAAUCAAAGCCCAGCAGCUCAUUGUAAUUCAUUGGCUGUGUGACCUUAUAAAAGUUACUUAACUUCUCUGAAUCUUGGUUUUUCUUUACAUAAAAUGGAGAUAAUAAUUGUAGUCAAUUGUAAAAAUGGUCACAAUCUUCCACUCCUCCCCAAAUGCUCACCACUGGCAGUGGGCUUUGCAGUUCCUCCUAUCAAGAAGUGAUGUCCAUUUCCCAUUCCUUUUUAAUUUGCUUUGGUCAAUGGAAUGAUAGGUGCUGGUUCUGAGUCUAGGUUCUAGGAGACGCAUUGCACAUGUCUGUCUUGGAACUCUGCCCAGUUGCCAUGCGAGAAAUCUGGCCUGGCUUGCUGGAGGAUGAGAGACACGUGGAACUGAAAGGAACCAUUCCAAGGAAGGCCAUUCUAAAUCAGCCAGCCUCCAGUCAACCCAGCACUGGGUACAAAGGCAAAGGUGAACCCAGAUGAAUUUUUUCUCCUGAAGAGGCAAGAAUCAAGUUGCUGCAGACCCAUAUGGAUUUGCUGCUGCUAACAUACUUUGGUGUCGUGACUCAGAUACGUCCCCAGUGGUCAUCAAGCUCCAGAUGAUCCUCAGUGAGGGAUGCCAUCCUCUCAAUAUUCAAGUCACCCUUCUACAGCGGACCCCUAGACUGCCCAGCAGAGGGACACGACAGAGAUAAAAUCCUGCCCAUUUCCCUUGGACCUGGCUGAAUACCACUUUCACCAACCCAUGGAGCCACCCUGCCCUGACAGCUAGCAAGAGUCCAAGACCCACAGAACAACCACCACCACCCCUCUGUCAGCAGGAAGCAGUUAGAGAAGACUGACCUUCAUCCCGUUUCCCAAAGAAUUGGGUCUUGGACUCUUGAGUGGGAAAAUGUUAGAGUAGGGCAGGAGAGCACUGCCUUCCCAACCCCCUUCUCUGACACCGAGGAAUGUCAGACAACCAUUAGGUGCUGGUCAGGCAGUUGUUAAACUGUCUUGCUAAGAUAAUAGCUGGUUACAGCUGGCACUAGGGAACAGCAAAAACAACUGAAAACAAUGGAAGCUGGUGAUCAGCAGCUUCCCAAUAAGAUCUUGGGAGUUGGGUGAGUGGGCUCAAGCAUGCGCACUAAGAGGUAAAAUGGUGGAGUUUAACUGGUAGACGACCUUCCUCUGGGAACACUGGACUGAUUAGGGAAAAACCCUUCAAGUGAGUGUGCAUGCAACUUCACUAAACGUAUUGUGCAUGCAGCCCCUCCCAAGUGCUGGCAGGCCACUGCUCAUGAGGACAGCCUGCCCAAAGGGAAGAAUGGAGGAGGAGAAAUGGGGAUCCAGGAAAAAUGCCAGUGUAAAAAGACCCCAAGUCAAGGACUAAAUGGGAGCUGAAUCUCUCAAGUCGCCUGCUUGGCCCUCUUCCAAGAGUACUUUGUUUUGUUCCUGCUCUAAGACUUUUUUUUUUUUUUUUUUUGAGAUGGAGUUUCACUCUUGUUGCCCAGGCUGGAGUACAAUGGCACAGUCUCAGCUCACGGCAAC
Molecule: long non-coding RNA, 4211 nt
Filed under: Homo sapiens (human)
Lineage: Eukaryota; Metazoa; Chordata; Mammalia; Primates; Hominidae
Description: HSALNT0215300
Source: RNAcentral